Molecule: transfer RNA, 67 nt
Filed under: Leptopilina syphax
Lineage: Eukaryota; Metazoa; Arthropoda; Insecta; Hymenoptera; Figitidae
Description: tRNA-Met
Source: RNAcentral
AUAAAAAUAAGUUAAUAAAACUUUUAGAUUCAUAAUCUAACAAUAGACAAAAAAAUUCUUUUUUAUU